GCCCUCAUAUGCAGUUGUAACUUGCUGAAAUCUAAGACGGGCAGGCGCAUGACAACGGCCUUUCACGCCGUCGACAGGGGUUCAAAUCCCCUUGGGGACGCCA
RNAcentral lists this transfer RNA (103 nucleotides) under Desulfovibrio piger. RNAcentral's name for it is "tRNA-Leu". The record is from RNAcentral. Lineage: Bacteria; Pseudomonadati; Thermodesulfobacteriota; Desulfovibrionia; Desulfovibrionales; Desulfovibrionaceae.